UUGGCUCUGAUAAUGGCCCGGUUUUUGCCAGUAGGGUUGCCCAGGAACUUGCUAAAUUCUUGCAAGUUACCUGGCAGUUUCAUAUACCCUAUCAUCCACAGAAUACAGGGGUAGUUGAAAGGAUGAAUAGGACUAUUAAGGAAAAGCCCAGAAUUUACCCAGGAACAUGGGUAAAUUGGACUAGAUAUCUACCAGCUAUUUUAGCUGAGAUAAGAGUGAUUCCUCACAAGGUGACUAAAUUAUCUCCAUUUGAGAUUUUGAUGGGAUGACCUUUUCCCACACCCUGGGCCAGGGAACUGCUUGUUAUAAUGUCUGGGGAUUUACAGCUAAUACAAGAACAAUAUGUACAGGAGUUGUUGAUAAAACCGAAUGGUAUGUAUGACAAUGUUUCUUCGCAGUUUUCCCUUACCUUCACAGGAACCUACUCAUUCAUACCAGCCCGGUGACAAGGUGUAUAUCCGUCAGCUGAACAGGACCAAGAAAGGAGGAUACCCUUUUGGACCACCUGCUACUGUGAUUGCUGUAACCAGAACCGCUGUCCUCACAGAUUCCCAUGACAUCUGGAUUCACGCAUCCCGAGUGAAGCUGUGUCCAAAGAGGGGAACCAAGGAAGACAACACCACUCCUCGCUCGGAAACAGAAGAAGUCCCCCUUAGCGAAGCAUCAUGGUUUUCACACCAUAUCGUAGAUUGAGAGGAUCAUACGAAUCUGAGACCAAGAUUAUGUUGUGUGCUAUGUUUUCUGGAGUAGUUAUACUCCCUUUGAUAUUGUUCCUUGAAUGCCAUUAUGAAUACGAGGCAAUGGCAAGUUUGAAACCUGUUUGUUUCUGGAAAGAAGACUCUGACAUGAUGAACAAUUCUUCAAUACCCCCAGCCCAAUUAGGCCUUAACCCCUCAUCUAGCAUUCGUCACACACGCUCCCUCAAGAACUUUUCUCCACCACCUUUUUAUCAGCAUGUAAUAUGCAAUCAUUCAUUCACUGAACGCAUUUGGAUGAAUUGGACAAAUAAUAACCCUUAUAAGUAUCAAUUACUCAUAUGGAAUGUGUCCACAGCUAAUGAAACCGAUGCAUUAUGUUUGUUUGAAGGUUCACGGAAAAUUGUUAGAUCUUAUAACACAGAAAUGUGCACAGUUAAGGUUGCUAAUUACACUGGUAUCUGUGCCACCUUAUUUAAUAUAAGUUCUGAUGGUAAGAGAAAACCAUCUAAACAGGUUUGGGAUAUAUAUUAUAAGAAAAUUAGUAAGGUUGCAUAUCAAUGUAAACAAACAGGCCUUAUUACUUUUAAUAAUGAUUAUACAACUGGUACCAUUAAUUGGAAAAAGGGACAAAUGUUAGUCAUUAUGAAUGACACUGCAAUUGAGAACUAUACACUACCUUAUAUUUUUACACCUUAUUACUGUCCUUUAUCCUCUAACAUAGAACCAAAAGUCAACAACGACACACACACACCUAUUCCAUCCACAUGUGUUAAUACAACUGCCUUCUUACAAGCUGUACAUGUGUCAUUAAAAGUCACUACUCUUGUUGUAACAUUAUGUAACACAGCAAACAAAAGGCAGAAAAGGGAAUGGUAUGACACACUGUUAGGAGGUGCUGGAACCACUAUGGGUAUACUAAAUAGUAUAGACAUGGAGACCCUCAAGAAUAAGUUAAACACAGCCAGUAUGCAUAUAGGGACUGGUUUUCAUGCUACUGCAAACUGGGCUCCAACUGUUGUUAAAUCACAGGUUACAGGAUUGGAUUUAGAUAAAUCAAUGUAUAAUUAUUUAGAUAAUUUAACUGUUGCAACUAUGAAAUUCACAACAGGUCUAAGUAAUUGGAGUACUUGUGCCAUCAGGUAUUUAUGGAUGCAACACCAAAGAUCGGCAUUAGAAGACAUACUAAUGAUUCCUAAAUUAGAGAAGAUUAGAGGAAUGCUUAACCUCACAGAUAAUGAAUGGUUACUUCUGAAACCCCAAUCCACUAAAUGCAAUGAAUGGUUAACUGGUACUGUAUCACAUUUUUCAUGCUCAUGCUAUUUUACAUUAUAUCAUACAACAUCAAAGGAUGUUAAAUUAGCUUGUCAAUUUAACACAUUACCAGUACCAGUUUAUGAUCUCUUUGCCAAGAAUUUAACCUGGUGGGCACCCACAUACACAGGGGACUAUAUUUUUCCCAAAGAUAACACACACAGGUAGCCACACAUAUC
RNAcentral lists this long non-coding RNA (2188 nucleotides) under Pelobates cultripes (western spadefoot toad). Lineage: Eukaryota; Metazoa; Chordata; Amphibia; Anura; Pelobatidae. The record is from RNAcentral.